Molecule: RNA transcript, 3579 nt
Organism: Phalaenopsis equestris
Lineage: Eukaryota; Viridiplantae; Streptophyta; Magnoliopsida; Asparagales; Orchidaceae
Gene name: serine/threonine-protein kinase/endoribonuclease IRE1a-like
Exons: 8
Source: RefSeq, a predicted model, not a curated record
AUUCCGUGCUAUGAAAAUUCCCGUAAAUUUUUGUCAACCUGGCGGAACGCCGCGCGGCAUGGUGGAGCAGACAAACAUGUAACUUUCCCAAAAUUACACUUCUCUAAUCCAAUUGGAUUCUCUCCAUCUCAACGAUACGUCGAUCUCUCUUUUCUUCCUAAGGUUUUUCUCCAGAUCGACGAAUACCUGCAGCCCUCUUCUUCAACUAUGUCGAUGAAGCCGCUUUAUGUUACCGUAUUCUUACUUCUCUACCUUCCCGUGUUCGUGAUCUCUGCGACGAAUCUGACAAACAAAGUAUCGCCUACAUCAAAGGACCUGCUCAUUCACGAUCAUUCACUUCCAGCUGCGGUCAGAAAGGGCUCCAGUAAACUCGCUUCCUUGCGAAGUUUUGAUGAUUUCGUGCUUGACUCUUCGUCAGCUACCGUAUCUUCUAUUUGUUCUUCCAUGAACGAGCCUGGUAGAUUUCUUCUUGCAUCACUGGAUGGAACCAUUUUAUCAGUGAACUGCAAAUCUGGGAUACAGUGGUCAUUUCAGACGGGUUCUGCACUCUCAUAUUCAGAGCAGGCUAUUUCAGAAAUUGAUGAAAGAGGGUGUUUUUUAUGCUCUGGUGAAGAUUGGAAACUUUAUGAGUAUUGCAUGGGUAGUGGGUUCAGGGAACUUGACUUGACAAUUGAGGAGUAUGUGCACAAUACACCAGAGAUACGUGGUCCUGAGAUAACUAUUGGUUCAAAAAUGGCUACUAUAUACCUUCUCGAUGCUGAUACUGGAGAGCAACUGCACAAAGACCAAACUCCCACUAAUCGUCCUGCCAUUUCUUCUCCAAAGUUUGGAAAGAAACUAGUUUCGUCUCAGCUGGAGAUGGGCAAAAAGGCUAGAAAUUACAUUAUCAUGGUUAGAACAGAUUAUUAUUUGAACUCUUCUGUUCUUGGAAAACCCCAGUGGAAUAUGAUGGAAUCUCGUAUAAGCGCCACAUAUAUUAAAAAUGUGGAAUCCACAAAGGCAGUUGAUGACCUUAAAUUGGUAUCCCCAUUUCAGAAGGAUAUUCCAGUGUAUUUCCUGCGCAAGGUGAAUAAUGCAUUAACGGCAGGUUCUGGAGUUCCAAUGCUGCCUACAGCAUUCGAUUUCCAGAACAAUUUUUCUGCGGAUGCACAAAACAUCUAUAAAAAAUCAAUUGGCGUGCCUAAUAUUCUACAUGAAACUACAGGUGGUGACCAGAAUCUACAAAGGUCUGAAAACCUUCAUUUUCUUGCUUCGGGUGACUCAUCUAAAGAUGCAAAUGAAUGUUCGUAUGGAAACUGUGUUAUGUUUAAACCUUUUGAAAGUAAAGUGUCUUAUGAAGUUGUAAGCUUACAACCUCGGUUGAAUCGUUUGACAAAUGGCCCAUUUGAAAAGGUUUUAGGUAUAUCAGAUGAUUCUCUAAUUUUUGCUGAUGAUUUGAAAUCGGAUAGAGCUCAUGACAAUCAGUGGAACCUUAAGGUCACGCUCCUUAAAACAUUCUGUGGUGUUCUGUUUUUUAUAGUCGUGCCCAUAGUUCUCGUACCUGUCAUAUAUUUUUGGAAAGCAAGAAGAACGAUCAAAUCUGAUAGGAAAUUGAGUAAUAAAGCAAAACCUUCACUCAGUCCUAAGAAGAGAAAAACUCGGAAAGCUGUCAACAUGAAAAGUAGUGCAGUUACAACCAAUCAUGACAACAUAGUUGCGUCUGGAAAGCAUAACACUGAAACCAAUGAGCCUUCUACCUUCCAAAACUGUGAUAAAAACCUGAUGAGCCUUUUAAGAUGCAACGGUACUGGUGAUGGGAGAUGGGUUGGCAAGCUUUUUCUGUCAAAUACUGAAAUUGGUCGAGGAAGCAAUGGCACGGUUGUCUUUGAAGGGAUCCAUGAUGGUCGUGUAGUUGCUGUCAAGCGACUUUUGCGUGCUCAUCAUGACAUAGCUUUUAAAGAAAUUCAGAAUCUUAUUGCUUCUGAUCGGCAUCCAAAUAUUGUUCGGUGGUAUGGAGUAGAGCAAGACCGGGACUUUGUUUAUAUAGCACUAGAGCGCUGCAUUUUCAGCCUGAGUGAAUUAAUACAGCUAGACACAGAUUGCUCUUUCCCCACAAAUACUGGUGAUUAUUUGACUUACACGAAGGAGCAGAAGAUUAUCUUGCCCAAUAUAAAAGGUAUCAGCAGAGAUAUUCAGUUGUGGCGGUCAAAUGGACUCCCUUCUCUCCAGCUUCUGAAAAUAAUGAGGGAUCUGGUCUCUGGCGUAGCUCAUUUACAUGAACUUGGAAUCGUUCAUAGGGAUUUAAAACCUCAAAAUGUUUUAAUAAGUGAUGGGUACAUUCUCUCUGCAAAGGUUUCUGAUAUGGGUAUCAGUAAACGUCUACUUGAUGAUAUGUCUUCCCUGAGCCAUCAUGCUACUGGACAUGGAAGCUCUGGUUGGCAAGCACCUGAACAGCUUCAUCAUCGGCGUCAGACACGUGCAGUUGAUUUAUUCAGUUUGGGUUGUAUACUUUUCUUUUGUAUUACAAAAGGUGAACAUCCAUUUGGAAAAUAUUAUGAACGGGAUGGGAAUAUCAUGAAAAAUCAUGUUGACCUAUUUUUGGUGGAUCAUAUACCUGAAGCUACAGAUCUUCUUUUGAAACUGUUGAACCCAGAGCCACAAUUGAGGCCAAAUGCUGUAGAAGUAUUGCAUCACCCUUUCUUUUGGAGUUCUGAGAUGCGAUUAUCAUUUCUUCGUGAUAUAAGUGAUAGGAUUGAAUUAGAAGAUAGGGAAAAUGAACCAGAACUUCCUAAAGCACUAGAAAAUGCUGGAGCAUUUGCAUUUGGUGGAAAGUGGGGUGAAAAGUUAGAUGCUGCUUUGAUUAAUGAUAUGGGUCGUUAUAGAAAGUAUAAUUUUGGUUCUAUGCGUGAUCUUCUUCGAGUUAUAAGAAAUAAGCAAAACCAUUACCGGGAACUUUCCAAAGAACUCAAGGAAAUUCUUGGACCAGUCCCUGAAGGAUUUGAUCUCUAUUUUUCUUCCAGAUUUCCCAGACUUCUGAUUGAGGUCUACAAGGUCAUAUGCAUACACUGCAAGGAGGAGACUUUCUUAAGAAAAUACUUCGAUAACAGUUGGAUAUAAUGAAUCUUCGUGUUGUCGAUCCCAAUGAACCGCGGACAUUCCAAUUCUUUGAGAGUUGGUCCUUGUACAAUUUCAGAAAUUUCUUCUUAUAAGUUAUAAAAAUGUGAAGAUUGACCGUGGAGUUUCUCACUGCAAGAGCACGGGUUCAAAUCAUGAAUAUUAUUCUUUGGCUCACCUUUUCUGAAAGAAAGACUAAAAAGGGCAAGGUGAGAAGUACUAUUUUCUUCCUUUGUUUUCUUGAUAUUAUGUUUUUGUAAAGUGUUGGUGGUUAAUAGAUUUAUGUUGAAAUGCCAGUGAUUCAGAAUUGCUCAUUGCAGAAAAUUUCACCUAAAGGUUGGGUUCAUUAUUUAAACGUGUUGGGACUAUCAUGAGCUAAUUAAAGAGUCAUUAUAUGGUUGGAUUCUAAAUUUAUCAGAGGGAUGCAUUAAGCUCUUUAAUGCACAAGAUUAGACAAUUAUGUUAUAUAUUGUCUCAUGCAUUUUA